Molecule: long non-coding RNA, 1510 nt
Filed under: Heterocephalus glaber (naked mole-rat)
Lineage: Eukaryota; Metazoa; Chordata; Mammalia; Rodentia; Bathyergidae
Description: lncRNA (ENSHGLG00100036891.1)
Source: RNAcentral
AGGGCUUCCGCGUCCUGCAAGCCCAGGGCCACACGGGCCCACCCCAAAGUCCGUGCUGCUAAGGAGCCUGCGGUUCCUUGGGUGGUUCUCAAACUUGAGCUGCUUGGAACCCAGGGGUACACCGGUCGGGCCUGGUUCCUGACCCAGCGAAGGUCUGAGGGCGGGGGCUGGGCUUCCUACCGCCUCCAGGGGGCGCUCUGAGGCAGGUCCUCUUCAGUACCACCGAGUGCUGUAACUCAGUCCGUGCUAACCUGAGCUAGCGCUGAUCUAAUGAAUCAGCAUCUCCCAACACACCUGUGCGUUAGGGUGCAGCGAGCACCGUCAGGACGCCAGGAGCACCUGGCAAUGUUUUCUAAAAAGGACACCUCAGGAGUGUGUGCAAUCACUCUGUGGACAGGUUCUGGAUUGCCUCUGCAGCCCCUGCUGUCUGAGCCUUUGCAGCCCAGCCAAAGAGCACGGAUUGCCCAACUUUGCGCCGAGGAAGGGUAAGCAGCGCAGGGCACAGAGGCGGAAUCGGGAACUGGGUGACGGAAGGCCUCGUGAGGUUUCAUCAUCCCGGGAUCAAGGCUCACAUUCGCCCAGGCCUCACUCAUGCCAAGAGCACACCUUACAGGCUGGAAACCAAGGCCCCCGAGGUCACGGGGUGCACGCACCUGGGGAGCCGGCUGACUCAGGUGGUCUUGCUCCAGGGCGGUGUGACUUCCCCUCCAGGGCUGACCGAAGCCUCCAAGUUGAACUUGCAAUGCGCAGAUACUUUCUAAUUUCCAGAGGAAAAGGCAGGGUGGUAAGAAUGCCCAGCACAAGCUUGGCCCGGAUAGGGGCAUGGCCGGGUCACGGGCACCCCCUGCCGCUCACGUGGGACCCCCACCAAGUGUGUCCCUUGCUUCUCCAGUGACAGUGGCGCCUGUGGAGCUCAGGAGUCAGAUAGGGUGCAGGUGGCGCGCUGCCCCCAGUCCCUGGCCUGAGCCUCUUUUAGUCCAGUUGACAAAACACGACAUUCCUGCGUCAUCGUCAGCUUCCUGUGCGUGGUCCUCCCCGGGCCCUGCAGCCGCCUGUCAACGCUGCCUUCCAAAAUGAGCCCCGUUGGCCUGGCGCAGGCGGAAAGCUCCAGCCCUAGGCCCUACCUGGCCUGGUCUUGGGCCCUGGCUGACCACAGCUCAGCUUGGUUGGAAGUGCACACAGUAAGUGCUUCCGGGUGCUGGCUGCCCGCUCCCCCACACCCCAGCUCCACAUCCAGGUCCUCUGGGCUCUUGGACUCAACAGUGAUUGUGGGACAGCCACCGUGCUCCAUGCAUGGGCGGGGCUGAGGGGCUACUGUGCCUGCCCUGCCCAAUCCCGGGGGACACACGCAGGCGGCCUGGGUUUCUCUACCACCUCUGCAUCCUUCAGGGAGCACAGGGCUUCCUAGGUCCAACUGACAUCCCCAGGAGGGGGGCGUUUCAGGCCGGUCCCUGGGGUGCAGCCAGGAAGCUAAGGCUGAGCAUGGAAUGGCCCUCAGCUCUGGGCUCUC